This 1544-nucleotide long non-coding RNA is filed under the name Neodiprion pinetum (white pine sawfly). RNAcentral's name for it is "uncharacterized LOC124210844". Lineage: Eukaryota; Metazoa; Arthropoda; Insecta; Hymenoptera; Diprionidae. The record is from RNAcentral.
AUGUGGAGAGUAUCGGAAGUUGGAGCUUUCGUAGUUGCGGCUACAGAGAUACAAUUAUCAGCGGUUGCGCCUGACGUCAACGCGGAACUGAUUAUCUUUGGUGGAAACGGCUGCUGACAUCUCCCAAGCAGCACAUUUUGAAAAGCCGUCAGAAAGAAAGUCCAGAAGCACAUCAGAAACUCGAUUUUUCUGCCUGUUGAGCUUUUUUUCGCGUUUGAGAUACUUGGACUUCGGUAUUUGUAGAUACAAAUCGACCAAGGCACAUUCUUUAUUCGAGGAAUAUGUAUGUAUUUAUGUAUUUUACGAGCCGAUAAGACAGCGACAAAUUGUAGAACUGCUGAAAAAAAUUGUUUUGCUGUUAGGCGCUUACUACUAAUCUUAUAAAAUAAUUUAUUUUAACUGACAUCGUAACUGUGAUAAAACAUUAUGUUGAAGGAGUGUUACAUACUAAUACCGCGCAAAAGUACUUCCUAUUUAUACCACAUUUUGCAUGCACCUUAUCUCAUUCCAUGUUCUAGAAGUACAUUAAUAUUUUACAAAUGAACUAUUGUCAAACAUUAAAAAAAAACAUUCAGAUAAAUAUAAUGUGAUGCACUAGAGAAAUAUAGUUAUUGCGACACAUGUUCCUCAACUUCUCUGAAAAAUUUUUCGGAUGAGAAUCUACUUUUACAGGAAAAAGAAUGUCCUAUUUUUCGUAUGAAACUUAUCAACUGAAUUUUUCUGUAAUAUUCUCAAAAUUUUACUGUGUUUUUUCAUUCAUAUUUGUGUCCUGAGACUAACAAGGAGAGUAUUAGACAAUCGAAUCUGAUGAACAUAUUUUCAGCCAAAAGAAUGUUCCUGGAAUUUUCAGUGAAAUCUGUGAUCCGAGGGUCAAUACUCUUGUAGGCACGACACUUUUUUACACCAGUUCUGUUAUCCGGUGAAGGGUAGCUAAAAUCUACCUAAUUUUUGAUGCAGGACCCUUUUCUUAACUAUCGGCACCCAAAUGUUUCGACUUUUCUGUGGGCAGGAGUAUCGUGUGCAAUAUUGCCGUGUGCAUUGAAGUUUCUGUGUGCAAACGUACUGUACACUAUUGCCAAAAUUAUUGUGUGCAAACAGGCCAUGCUAACAGGCCGUGUAGGAAUGGUUUACAAAAGUGCCUUGGGCUGAUAGACUGUGUCCAAAUGAUACUCACACAAAAUUGAAUGUUCCGCGUUUAGAAAAAUAUGUCUUCUCCAACGUGUAGCAUUACUUGACAACUAGUUACAAAGUAGAUAUGCAAGUAUGAAUAUGCAUAGAGUUGUAGAAAGGCCGUAUUACAUUGAUGUGUAUUAUUAUUUUAUUACUCUAAUUAACAUAUUACUUAAUACUACGUCUAUACCAAUCAUUUACAUAAUUGGUCAGUGACAAUAACGCGCUAUAUACUGAAUUUCUUCAUAACUAAAUCCUAUGAGGUAAUCCUUUUAUGUUAUGCACAAUAUAUUUAACACAAUGCAAAUUGAUAUUUGAUUAAUAUAUUUAUAAUUUAUAAACAUUCACCUUUGGCAAUUAGGAUGUGCCGUAUG